This 182-nucleotide small nuclear RNA is filed under the name Nicotiana sylvestris (wood tobacco). RNAcentral describes it as "U2 spliceosomal RNA". It matches the Rfam family "U2 spliceosomal RNA". From Rfam's summary of the family: U2 is a small nuclear RNA (snRNA) component of the spliceosome (involved in pre-mRNA splicing). Complementary binding between U2 snRNA (in an area lying towards the 5' end but 3' to hairpin I) and the branchpoint sequence (BPS) of the intron results the bulging out of an unpaired adenosine, on the BPS, which initiates a nucleophilic attack at the intronic 5' splice site, thus starting the first of two transesterification reactions that mediate splicing. Lineage: Eukaryota; Viridiplantae; Streptophyta; Magnoliopsida; Solanales; Solanaceae. The record is from Rfam by way of RNAcentral.
AUACCUUUCUCGGCCUUUUGGCUAAGAUCAAGUGUAGUAUCUGUUCUUAUCAGUUUAAUAUCUGAUAUGUGGGCCAUCGGUCUACACGAUAUUAACUCAAUAGACUAUUAAGGUAGCUUGCUAUCUGGGCUCUCGCGCGUCGCCUAUGCGUUGCACUACAGCAUGGGCCUGGCGCACCCCAC